GAGUUUGAUCUUGGCUCAGAUUGAACGCUGGCGGCAGGCCUAACACAUGCAAGUCGAACGGUAACAGGAAGAAGCUUGCUUCUUUGCUGACGAGUGGCGGACGGGUGAGUAAUGUCUGGGAAACUGCCUGAUGGAGGGGGAUAACUACUGGAAACGGUAGCUAAUACCGCAUAACGUCGCAAGACCAAAGAGGGGGACCUUCGGGCCUCUUGCCAUCGGAUGUGCCCAGAUGGGAUUAGCUAGUAGGUGGGGUAACGGCUCACCUAGGCGACGAUCCCUAGCUGGUCUGAGAGGAUGACCAGCCACACUGGAACUGAGACACGGUCCAGACUCCUACGGGAGGCAGCAGUGGGGAAUAUUGCACAAUGGGCGCAAGCCUGAUGCAGCCAUGCCGCGUGUAUGAAGAAGGCCUCGG
Molecule: ribosomal RNA, 415 nt
Filed under: uncultured bacterium
Lineage: Bacteria
Description: bacterial SSU rRNA
Rfam family: Bacterial small subunit ribosomal RNA
Source: RNAcentral